CAGCAGCCACGGGAAUACGUAGGGUGCGAGCGUUAAUCGGAAUUACUGGGCGUAAAGCGUGCGCAGGCGGUUCGUUAAGACAGAUGUGAAAUCCCCGGGCUUAACCUGGGAACUGCAUUUGUGACUGGCGGGCUAGAGUAUGGCAGAGGGGGGUAGAAUUCCACGUGUAGCAGUGAAAUGCGUAGAGAUGUGGAGGAAUACCGAUGGCGAAGGCAGCCCCCUGGGCCAAUACUAACGCUCAUGCACGAAAGCGUGGGGAGCAAACAGGAUUAGAUACCCCUGUAGUCCCUGUCUCUUAUAC
This 301-nucleotide ribosomal RNA is filed under the name uncultured bacterium. RNAcentral's name for it is "partial 16S ribosomal RNA". It matches the Rfam family "Bacterial small subunit ribosomal RNA", at positions 509 to 807 of the family's 1533-position model. The record is from RNAcentral.